This is a long non-coding RNA of Mauremys reevesii (Reeves's turtle), 265 nucleotides long. RefSeq lists it as uncharacterized. The transcript is spliced from 3 exons. NCBI's taxonomy places the organism in Eukaryota, Metazoa, Chordata, Testudines, Geoemydidae. The record is from RefSeq and is a predicted model, not a curated record.
UGCGUGCGUGCGCCCCCACCUGUCCGUCCGUCCGUGGAGCUGUAGAAGGAAGCCAUGCUGCUGCUGGAGAAAGGGAGCAGUACAAACAUUAUCAGGCAUAAGAAAGGAGGCCCUGAGGUUAUGAAUAAGGAGGAGAUUUAAAUGAGAGAUUUGCACUCCAACUAGGUGGAAAACUCUUCAGGACAGGGACUGGAUCUUAUGUGGUGGUCCAGUGUUUUGUACAAUGGAGCCCUGAUCCUGACUGGAGCCUUUGGGCACUACAGCA